AAUUGGUUACAUGUAGCUCAAAAGCCACAUAUGCCAUGUGUUACUUUCUACUUGUUGCUUAUCCAACUCCAACCACGUAAACUAGAGGCGUUGUUUGGUCUCUGUGCACAUGAUGAAAUCGAAUGGUGAAAGGUGGUGAAACACAUGGGCUAUAAUGGGGUGCUAUUUUAGAGCAGAAAGCCACUCUUGAGCCAGAGUCAAUUCAGAACCACCUUUUGAUAGGGAUUCCAGCUCCACUUGCAGUUUUUGAAGGGUUCAGAUUAUUGGGUCUGUAAACUUUGGAGUGUGACAUCCGGAGAGAAUCUCAAUCCAUGGUUUUUACUAUUAGAUUUCAACGAUUAGGAAGAUCUAAUAGCAACUUUUUUUGUUUGUUUUAUUCUUACCUCCUACACUCUUGUUUAUCUUACCAUACCUCAUGUAUUCAUCAUUUGUGUCUCUCUCAAUCCCAUUUCGUCAACUAAGUUAAGAGAGACAUUAAUUCCGCUGAUAUGUCAAUAACUAUCUGGUUUUUUCAGCAAUGAUACUGGAGAUAGGUCAAAUGAAUUGUGAGUUUUAAUGACAAAUUGUCAAUCUUUGAGAGGUUGAGCCAUUUAGGAUAGUCAUGGAGUGAACUUGGGGUAAUGUUGGCGAGGUUUUGGUUUUGCUCUAUUCCAAGGUUGUUUUUGCUAUUUCAUAUAUUUCUAAAUGUGAAAAUGGGUUGGAAAGUCCAAAGAGCCUUUGUCUCGCCAAUGAAAGAUGAAUACAUUGAGUAAAGUGAGACAUAACAGAGUAUACGGGGUAAUGUGCGAUUUUGUAAGAGUACAUGGUUGACUUCAAUGCUACCGGGUGAGCAUCGACUCGAAGCCUCCUCUGGCGCCGGUGGUUCAGCAACCGAUAACGAUGCAGCCGCCCAGGUCGUCUUGUUCAUUUCCGGUUCAGUCGAUGGCGACGAUGAUCGGGCAGAAGCUGGUGGGGUCCGCUGCUUAUGAGCAGUUCGUGCUGACGCGAUGCAAGUCCGAGCCACUGAGGUCGGUGCCUAAGCUUGCGGUGGCGCCGGAGACGUGUUUUUGGAAGAAUAGGAAGCUGGAGCCGCACAGGCAGGCUGCGAUGGGAGUCGGCGCGGCUGGGGUAGGGUUUUGAGCCGGAGGUAAUUAAUUUGGAUUGUGAAAAAAAAAGAAAGAAAAAUUGAAAUGUAUGUAGGAAGUUUGCACUCUAUUUUCGUUUGUACAUUUUUAUGUAGUGAUUUUGUAUAAAUUCAUUUUUAUGUUUGCUCUUAUAAAUAUAUUUAUGAUUUAUUUUA
RNA transcript from Pyrus x bretschneideri (Chinese white pear), 1279 nucleotides. RefSeq lists it as uncharacterized. Lineage: Eukaryota; Viridiplantae; Streptophyta; Magnoliopsida; Rosales; Rosaceae. The transcript has 2 exons. The record is from RefSeq and is a predicted model, not a curated record.